UCGACUAGAAGAACAAGAGGACUGAUAGAUUUGGGUUUGGUUUGGAGAGUAAACGAUUGCAGUUUUCAAUUGGGCAUGCCUUCUCAGAGUUAUUUUGGCCCUUUGGUUCCUUAGCAUUGUGUGAGUUACCCGAACCAUUGAAUAUAUAAGAAGGAUCUCCACCACUGUUUCAAUUCCAGAAACCUCCAGCCUCCAUCAAGGUCAACAUCUGCUUUUAGCCGAUAACAAGCUUAGACAUGAAAGUCAACAUCAUGAAAGGCUUGCUCCGAAACUCAAGUUUUGGGAGAAAUCUGAAAAAAGAAGGUUGUACUCAUAGCUGAAACAGAGCAGACCCCGUAUCAUGAAGUAUGUGAAAGACCCUUAAUAGUAUGCUUAUAUAAUUUCACGUUGCCCUGCAUUACAUAAAGAGGGGCAAAACUCCGAGGCUCUUAUUCGGAUUAAAAGCGUAGCUCAGUACCUUUAUUUGAGAAGGAACCCAUCCAUGUUCAGAGAUGAGAGUUCUCCGCCAGUCUACUAGUGAUAACCAUUUGGUAUGCC
Long non-coding RNA from Rosa chinensis, 537 nucleotides. RefSeq lists it as uncharacterized. Lineage: Eukaryota; Viridiplantae; Streptophyta; Magnoliopsida; Rosales; Rosaceae. The record is from RefSeq and is a predicted model, not a curated record. The transcript has 5 exons.